CUACGGGAGGCUGCAGUGAGGAAUAUUGCACAAUGGGGGGAACCCUGAUGCAGCAACGCCGCGUGGAGGAUGACGCAUUUCGGUGUGUAAACUCCUUUUAUAUGUCAAGAAAAUGACGGUAGCAUAUGAAUAAGCACCGGCUAACUCCGUGCCAGCAGCCGCGGUAAUACGGAGGGUGCAAGCGUUACUCGGAAUCACUGUGCGUAAAGGACGCGUAGGCGGGUUGGAAAGUCAGGUGUGAAAUCCUACAGCUUAACUGUAGAACUGCACUUGAAACUUCUAAACUAGAGUAUGGGAGGGGGAGAUGGAAUUAGUGGUGUAGGGGUAAAAUCCGUAGAUAUCACUAGGAAUACCUAAAGCGAAGGCGAUCUCCUGGAACAUUACUGACGCUAAGGCGUGAAAGCGUGGGGAGCAAACAGGAUUAGAUACCCUUGUAGUC
Molecule: ribosomal RNA, 439 nt
Filed under: uncultured bacterium
Lineage: Bacteria
Description: partial 16S ribosomal RNA
Rfam family: Bacterial small subunit ribosomal RNA
Source: RNAcentral